GGUCUGGAAGCUUUUCCUUCAAUCUUCGAGCUCCUCACCUAUCUGAACAUGCCAUUGCCUGCAACCAAGCUUGAGAACCAACAAACAGUGGCUGCGGGUUCUGGAAACACGCAGAGUGAUAGUUCAGAAAUAAAAGAAAAAAACCCAAAUCCCAAGGCUCUGACUGAGGUCCAGCAAGGAUUAAGGUCAUCAGGUACCAAACAGGAUCCAAGGGUAAAUAAAGGGAGAGUGUGGGCUUACCUGGAGACUCCCUAAGCAGAAAAUGAGAGCUUGGGGCUACAGUGAGGGGGCCACUCCACUGUUCAGGUCUGUGGGCUCAUCCUUCAUUCAGCGCUGAGCACGUGAAUUUGGGCAUAGAAGAUGGUGGUUAAAGCUUGAAUAAAAAGGCCCAAGAACCAAUAGAAACUGACGGAAACUGAUAGCAUACUGACAAAACACCUUAUCCUCUGCCUCUUGCUGGUGUCAAUGUAAGAAAAGAUCUGAGAUUUUAAGAACAACAGGCAGGGGGCAACAUAGUGAGACCCCAUCUCUACAAAGAAUAAAAAAUUAGCUGGGUGGAGUGGUACGUGCCUGUAGUCCCAGGCACUUGGGAGGCUGGGGUGGGAGGACUGCUUGAGCCUGGGAGGUUGAAGCUGCAGUGAGCUGUGACUGCACCACUGCACUCGAGCCUGGGUAACACAGUGAACCCCUAUCUCAAGCAAACGAAACAAAACAACAAACAAACCAAAAAACAAAGAGGACUCUGAAAGGUGUUUCAAACAACCAAACGAAAACAAAUACAGGCUUGCUAGAGAACUAUUUGAAAAAGGAUCUAAAACUUCUCAGCCAAAGCUUUUGGGGCCAGUUCUGCUGGAAAGAGGACUGGGUUUAAACUGCAUGGCUCUUUGCAGUCAUCAGAACCUCCAUUUGCUUAAAUGGCACUUGGAAAGACAGGUAUAAAAUGACACUUGGACAGAUGCCACUUUCUGCAAGUGGAAAAGAACUGGUCUCCAUUGUAUAGAGUUUUACAGGAGCAAGAGAAUAAGGACAAUUCUAAACCCAGAUUUUCUAUUUGACCCUCAGUCUCUAGAAAGUUUGACAUCCUAGAUGAAGAACAAAAGUAAGUUGAACACGGACACAGAGAGAGGAACAACAUACACCGGGCCUGUCGGGGGGUGGGGAGGGAGGGAGAAUAUUAGGAAAAAUAGCCAAUGCAUGCUGGGCUUAAUAUCUAGGUGACUGGUGGAUAGGUGCAGCAAACCACCACGGCACACAUUUACCUACGUAACAAACCCGCACAUGUACCCCAGAAUUAAAAAUAAAAAAAAUUUAAAUUAAAAAAGUAGAGACUCUUCAAAGUGAGAAGGUAUGUCAGGCAGCUACUAUUAUUUUUCCUCCAAAUUAAUAAGUGUAAGGUACCUGUUUAAUCAGCUGGAGGUUAGAAAAAAAAUAAUAUAAAUAUUUUUCAUGGAAACAAACAAGACAAAACAACAACAACAAAAGUAAGUUGAAAGCCAUAUGUGUUAAGGUCACUCUUAGCAUUUUUACCUUACAUGACAAGCAGAGACCAGGAAAAGACAAGGACAUGAAUUUAAGGUACUCAAGUUCCAAAUACACGAAUCCAUUGCUAGUUGUUUCUUUUUCUCUCUUUUCUCAACAAGUUGGGGAACACAUGCAGAGGCAACAACAGCCACCGACUGAGUUGACUAUAUUCUCCAUGGGGCUGAGUAUGGACAAGGCGUAUUUCCCGGACGCCAUGGGCAGGGGGUCUCCAUCAAUGACGUGGAUAUUCAACACUACAGGGCCUGGCUCCCUGCUUGCGGAGGACUCAUGGGUCACCCUGAAUGGCCCAAACUCUCUGAUACCUGGCAGAGUGGUGGCGGUGGGCCUUAGGCAAGCCAGC
This 1882-nucleotide long non-coding RNA is filed under the name Homo sapiens (human). RNAcentral describes it as "HSALNT0248852". The record is from RNAcentral. Lineage: Eukaryota; Metazoa; Chordata; Mammalia; Primates; Hominidae.